This 435-nucleotide ribosomal RNA is filed under the name uncultured bacterium. RNAcentral describes it as "partial 16S ribosomal RNA". It matches the Rfam family "Bacterial small subunit ribosomal RNA", at positions 29 to 507 of the family's 1533-position model. The record is from RNAcentral.
AGCGAACGCUGGCGGCAGGCUUAACACAUGCAAGUCGAACGGGCUUCUUCGGAAGUCAGUGGCAGACGGGUGAGUAACACGGGGGAACGUGCCCUUCGGUUCGGAAUAACUCAGGGAAACGUGAUCUAAUACCGUAUACGCCCUUGUGGGGAAAGUUUUACUGCCGAAGGAUCGGCCCGCGUCUGAUUAGCUUUUUGGUGGGGUAACGGCCUACCAAGGCGACGAUCAGUAGCUGGUCUGAGAGGAUGAUCAGCCACACUGGGACUGAGACACGGCCCAGACUCCUACGGGAGGCAGCAGUGGGGAAUAUUGGACAAUGGGCGAAAGCCUGAUCCAGCAAUGCCGCGUGAGUGAUGAAGGCCUUAGGGUUGUAAAGCUCUUUUGCCCGGGACGAUAAUGACGGUACCGGAAGAAUAAGCCCCGGCUAACUUCGUG